This 1335-nucleotide long non-coding RNA is filed under the name Anser cygnoides (Swan goose). RNAcentral describes it as "lncRNA (ENSACDG00005018212.1)". Lineage: Eukaryota; Metazoa; Chordata; Aves; Anseriformes; Anatidae. The record is from RNAcentral.
AUGGGGUGCCCCCAAAACCCAAGGGGCAGGGGGUCAGACCCACGCCUCCUCAUCGUCCUCGGUGAGCCACGCGCCGCUGUCAGCCAGCGAGGGCUUGGCUGUGGGGCGUGCACCCCCGGGCUGCGGGCGCCGUGUCGGGGCUGGGGGGCGAUGCUGGCCCCGGGCACGGGGCAGGCGCUGCCCCAGCGGGGUGGGGAUGCGCGAGGGGCCCUUCCCGGGCCGAUGGUCCCGCCGGGGACGCACUUUGGGCCGCAGCUUCAGCUUGUAGAUGGAGGGCACACGCUCAGGUUUCUUGAGGCACCGCCGGGGCUUUGGCAGGGUGGCCGCCCUCGUGCCCUGCGGGGCCUGGCCCCCUGCUGCCAGCUCCUCUGUGGUCCCCCCAGCUGGGAGGGUGGCACGCUGCGGGGUGGUCAUGGGGGGCUUUUGGGCCACCCAGCUCUCCAUCUCCACAGGGCACAGGGGUUGCCGGCCAUGGGAGAGCUCCUCCAGCACCCUGUCAUAGCCCGUGGCUGUGAGUGUGCCCAGCAGCCCCGGAGCCCUGAGCCCCCCCUGCCAUGGCCACAGGUUCCCCCCGGUUCAUCCGCCGGCACCCCGGGGCUCUCAGCAUCCUUGGCUGGCGGGCUCGUGGCUGGGUGGCACCGCUGGGAACCCUCCCCAGCAGCACAGCCCUUGCACCCGUUUGCAGUAGGGGACAGAGGGGUCGGGGGCUGGCAGAUGGCUGGGCUGGUUUUGCUGGGGGGUUUAACACUUCUGUCCCCUUUCGGAGCUUGGCUCAAAGAGUUUUGGGGUGAUGCUGGAUGCCCACGUCCAAAGGCUGCCCUGUUGCCUUCCCGGGGGCUUUUCCUGCUCUGUGAUGCACCCCGGGCACCCCGUUCCGGGGAGGAAGAACCGACCUUGACAGGGCUGCGGGCACAGGGCAGGGCAGCAGCAGGGACCCCCGCUUGCUGCAGCCUGACAGCCCCCACGGAUGAGCUCCCCCCUUGCCGGGUGCUUUUUGGAGGCGACGGUGCCCGACGCUGGGCACUGGGGGCCUUGCCCCUGCCCUGUGCUGCUGCAGACCGGGGGGUCCCCAGGAUGCUCCCAGGCGGCACCUCGCGGACCCCCGCACUGCCCAGCCGGGACGGGGUGGGUGCCCGCUGCGUGGCCCCACGGCCGGGGGAGCUGGGUCGAGCGGGUGACCUCGGCGUUGGGGUCCGUGUCCUGCAAGGAGAGAGAGACGGGAGGGGGGGGGGUCACAGAGCCACCGUGUCCCUCUGCAUCCAGGGAUGGGACAAAAAGUGCCCCGAAAAGCAGAGGUUUUGGGGUAUGAAGCCGCUCUGCACCUCACCUGCCUGA